GUGUCAGCAGCCGCGGUAAGACGAACCGUGCGAACGUUGUUCGGAAUCACUGGGCUUAAAGGGCGCGUAGGCGGGCGAUCAAGUCAGGGGUGAAAUCCGUCGGCUUAACCGGCGAAGAGCUUUUGAUACUGGUCGUCUCGAGGGAGGUAGGGGCAUACGGAACUUCCGGUGGAGCGGUGAAAUGCGUAGAGAUCGGAAGGAACGCCGGUGGCGAAAGCGGUGUGCUGGACCUCUUCUGACGCUGAGGCGCGAAAGCCAGGGGAGCAAACGGGAUUAGAUACCCGCGUAGUCC
This 292-nucleotide ribosomal RNA is filed under the name uncultured bacterium. Its description in RNAcentral is "partial 16S ribosomal RNA". It matches the Rfam family "Bacterial small subunit ribosomal RNA", at positions 505 to 796 of the family's 1533-position model. The record is from RNAcentral.